Molecule: ribosomal RNA, 253 nt
Filed under: uncultured bacterium
Lineage: Bacteria
Description: partial 16S ribosomal RNA
Rfam family: Bacterial small subunit ribosomal RNA
Source: RNAcentral
UACGAAGGGUGCAAGCGUUACUCGGAAUUACUGGGCGUAAAGCGUGCGCAGGCGGUUCGUUAUGUCCGUUGUGAAAGCCCCGGGCUCAACCUGGGAAUGGCAAUGGAAACUGGCGGGCUAGAGUGUGGCAGAGGGGGGUGGAAUUCCGCGUGUAGCAGUGAAAUGCGUAGAGAUGCGGAGGAACACCGAUGGCGAAGGCAGCCCCCUGGGCUAGCACUGACGCUCAGGCACGAAAGCGUGGGGAGCAAACAGG